GAUAAGAUAGCAGUAUCCUGAGUAGUGCGGGGCACGUGAAACCCUGUGUGAAUCUGUGGGGACCAUCCCAUAAGGCUAAAUACUCCUGAGAGACCGAUAGUGAACUAGUACCGUGAGGGAAAGGUGAAAAGAACCCUGAAUAAGGGAGUGAAAUAGAACCUGAAACCAUACGCUUACAAGCGGUCGGAGCGGAUUUAUCCGUGACGGCGUGCCUUUUGCAUAAUGAGCCUACGAGU
Molecule: ribosomal RNA, 236 nt
Filed under: Microbacterium sp. ZXX196
Lineage: Bacteria; Bacillati; Actinomycetota; Actinomycetes; Micrococcales; Microbacteriaceae
Description: partial 23S ribosomal RNA
Rfam family: Bacterial large subunit ribosomal RNA
Source: RNAcentral